Molecule: ribosomal RNA, 468 nt
Filed under: uncultured bacterium
Lineage: Bacteria
Description: partial 16S ribosomal RNA
Rfam family: Bacterial small subunit ribosomal RNA
Source: RNAcentral
GACGAACGCUGGCGGCGUGCUUAAUACAUGCAAGUCGAGCGGAAAGGCCCGGCGUUUGUUGGGUGCUCGUGUGGCGAACGGGUGAGUAACACGCGAGUAUACUCCCCCUGUCUUUGUGAUAACUUCAGGGAACUGCGGAGAUAAUCGGGGAGAAUAUAUUGAUCCAUGUGGGGGGUUGGAGAGAUUCGGCGGUGGGGGAUCGAAUCGCAGGUUAUCAGCUGGUUGGGGGGGUAGUGGCUUACAAGGGCUUUGAGGGGUAGCCGGCCUGGGAGGGUGGACGGCCACAUGGGGACUGCGAGAGGGCCCAGAAUCCUACGGGAGGCAGCAGUGGGGAAUAUUGCAGAAUGGGCGGAAGCCUGAUGCAGCAGCGCCGCGUGCGGGAUGACGGCCUUCGGGUUGUAAACCGAUUUCGCAGGUGACGUAGCGUGCGUGACGGUAAUGGGUAAGGAAGCACCGGCUAACUACGUG